GAUGAAGAACUUAGCGAAAUGCGAUAAGUAAUGCGAAUUGCAGAAUUCAGUGAAUCAUCGAAUCUUUGAACGCACAUUGCGCCCGCCAGUACUCUGGCGGGCAUGCCUGUCUGAGCGUCAUUUCAACCCUCGCGCCCGGCUUCUGUCGGGGGCGGUGUUGGGGAUCGGCCUCCCGUCUUCCGGGCGGCCGGCCCCUAAAUGGAGUGGCGACCGCGCCGUAGCCUCCUCUGCGUAGUAGUGAAACACUCGCGGGCGGAGAGCGGUGCGGCCCGCCGUAAAACCCCCAACUCUUCUAAGGUUGACCUCAGAUCAGGUAGGAAUACCCGCUGAACUUAAGCAUAUCAAUAAGCGGAGGA
This 356-nucleotide unclassified non-coding RNA is filed under the name soil metagenome. RNAcentral's name for it is "partial contains 5.8S ribosomal RNA, internal transcribed spacer 2, and large subunit ribosomal RNA". The stretch from base 1 to 120 matches the Rfam family "5.8S ribosomal RNA", at positions 35 to 154 of the family's 154-position model. The record is from RNAcentral.